This 710-nucleotide long non-coding RNA is filed under the name Jatropha curcas. Its description in RNAcentral is "long non-coding RNA (JCUR_LNC001834)". Lineage: Eukaryota; Viridiplantae; Streptophyta; Magnoliopsida; Malpighiales; Euphorbiaceae. The record is from RNAcentral.
UGCCACGUACAUAUAUUUUCUUUAUUUAGUUAUUUUUAUUACUCCCUCAUAUUAUACAAGCUUGGAUUCACUUUCACGUAUCCUUAUAUUAAUUAUCGGUGAAUUAAUGAAAAAUUUAAUUUUCAGAACCGAUAAUCCAGGUUUAAGGUUACUUAUGUGUAAUAAUUUAUUGAAUUAGGUUAUAUUUUAGCAGGUAGAGUACAUAUAUUUCUUCAUCAACUGGUAAAAUGGAGAAAAUGUCAAGUCAUAAUAUAAUAUAAUUCAACCAAAUUGACGAGAUUAAACUAUCUUGGUUGCCUCUAUCCAAGGAUUGAACUCAGGAUCUACAGAGCAUUUACUCAAUCUUUAACUAUUCAUCAUCCAUGCAAUUUUCAAAUUACAAGUAAGUAUUUGAGUUGCAGAACAAAUAAUUGAAAAUGGGAAAUGAAACAUGGGAAUGAAUACACAGGUUUCAUUGUCUUCUGAACAAUCUGAAAAUUUUCUUGGAAAGUGAAAGAAAAAGACAAACACUGAGAAGACAUUUUCCUAAGAAAUAACGUUAGCCCAAAAGAGCCCCACGUCCACUCUCUCCCUCUCAAGUCUGAACCUUGUCCAGCCUUCUCCUUCCUCGGUCGUCUCUGCCGUUCGCCUGAUGGCACCUUUCUUUGUCAUUGGCAGAGACUACCUGAGACAAAACCCGCUAAAACAUUAAAUGAAAUAUAAAAAUUACG